This 544-nucleotide ribosomal RNA is filed under the name uncultured bacterium. RNAcentral's name for it is "partial 16S ribosomal RNA". It matches the Rfam family "Bacterial small subunit ribosomal RNA", at positions 355 to 914 of the family's 1533-position model. The record is from RNAcentral.
UGGGGAAUAUUGCACAAUGGGCGAAAGCCUGACGCAGCAACGCCGCGUGAGUGAUGAAGGUCUUCGGAUUGUAAAGCUCUGUCUUUUGGGACGAUAAUGACGGUACCAAAGGAGGAAGCCACGGCUAACUACGUGCCAGCAGCCGCGGUAAUACGUAGGUGGCGAGCGUUGUCCGGAUUUACUGGGCGUAAAGGGUGCGUAGGCGGAUGUUUAAGUGAGAUGUGAAAUACCCGGGCUUAACUUGGGUGCUGCAUUUCAAACUGGAUAUCUAGAGUGCAGGAGAGGAGAAUGGAAUUCCUAGUGUAGCGGUGAAAUGCGUAGAGAUUAGGAGGAACACCAGUGGCGAAGGCGAUUCUCUGGACUGUAACUGACGCUGAGGCACGAAAGCGUGGGUAGCAAACAGGAUUAGAUACCCUGGUAGUCCACGCCGUAAACGAUGAGUACUAGGUGUAGGAGGUAUCGACCCCUUCUGUGCCGCAGUAAACACAUUAAGUACUCCGCCUGGGAAGUACGAUCGCAAGAUUAAAACUCUAAGUGAAUUGAC